RNAcentral lists this ribosomal RNA (460 nucleotides) under uncultured bacterium. RNAcentral describes it as "partial 16S ribosomal RNA". It matches the Rfam family "Bacterial small subunit ribosomal RNA", at positions 338 to 795 of the family's 1533-position model. The record is from RNAcentral.
CCUACGGGAGGCAGCAGUGAGGAAUAUUGGUCAAUGGACGAGAGUCUGAACCAGCCAAGUAGCGUGAAGGAUGACUGCCCUAUGGUUUGUAAACUUCUUUUAUAUGGGAAUAAAAUGUUCCACGUGUGGGAUUUUGUAUGUACCAUAUGAAUAAGGAUCGUCUAACUCCGUGCCAGCAGCCGCGGUAAUACGGAGGAUCCGAGCGUUAUCCGGAUUUAUUGGGUUUAAAGGGAGCGUAGGUGGAUUGUUAAGUCAGUUGUGAAAGUGUGCGGCUCAACCGUAAAAUUGCAGUUGAAACUGGCAGUCGUGAGUACAGGAGAGGUGGGCGGAAUUCGUGGUGUAGCGGUGAAAUGCUUAGAUAGCACGAAGAACUCCGAUGGCGAAGGCAGCUCACUGGACUGCAACUGACACUGAGGCUCGAAAGUGUGGGUAUCAAACAGGAUUAGAUACCCUAGUAGUC